Molecule: ribosomal RNA, 254 nt
Filed under: uncultured bacterium
Lineage: Bacteria
Description: partial 16S ribosomal RNA
Rfam family: Bacterial small subunit ribosomal RNA
Source: RNAcentral
UACAGGGGGAGCAAGCGUUGUUCGGAUUUACUGGGCGUAAAGGGCGCGUAGGCGGCCACCGCAAGUCGACUGUGAAAUCUCCGGGCUUAACCCGGAAAGGUCAGCCGAUACUGCGGGGCUAGAGUGCAGAAGGGGCAACUGGAAUUCUCGGUGUAGCGGUGAAAUGCGUAGAUAUCGAGAGGAACACCUGCGGCGAAGGCGGCUCACUGGACUGGUAUUGACGCUGAGGUGCGAAAGCGUGGGGAGCAAACAGG